Molecule: ribosomal RNA, 469 nt
Filed under: uncultured bacterium
Lineage: Bacteria
Description: partial 16S ribosomal RNA
Rfam family: Bacterial small subunit ribosomal RNA
Source: RNAcentral
GAUGAACGCUGGCGGCGUGCUUAACACAUGCAAGUCGAACGGUGAAGCUCCAGCUUGCUGGAGUGGAUCAGUGGCGAACGGGUGAGUAACACGUGAGCAACCUGCCCCUGACUCUGGGAUAACAGCCGGAAACGGCUGCUAAUACCGGAUAUGCACCAUGAACGCAUGUUCUGUGGUGGGAAAGAUUUUUCGGUUGGGGAUGGGCUCGCGGCCUAUCAGCUUGUUGGUGAGGUAAUGGCUCACCAAGGCGUCGACGGGUAGCCGGCCUGAGAGGGUGACCGGCCACCCUGGGACUGAGACACGGCCCAGCCUCCUACGGGAGGCAGCAGUGGGGAAUAUUGCACAAUGGGCGGAAGCCUGAUGCAGCAACGCCGCGUGAGGGAUGACGGCCUUCGGGUUGUAAACCUCUUUUAGCAGGGAAGAAGCGAGAGUGACGGUACCUGCAGAAAAAGCGCCGGCUAACUACGUG